CUACACACGUCAUACAAUGGCCGGUACAGAGGGUAGCCAACCGCAGGGGGAGCCAAUCCCACAAAGCCGGUCGUAGUCCGGAUCGCAGUCUGCAACUCGACUGCGUGAAGUCGGAAUCGCUAGUAAUCGCGGAUCAGCAUGCCGCGGUGAAUACGUUCCCGGGCCUU
This 167-nucleotide ribosomal RNA is filed under the name uncultured Allobrachymonas sp. RNAcentral's name for it is "uncultured Brachymonas sp. partial 16S ribosomal RNA". It matches the Rfam family "Bacterial small subunit ribosomal RNA", at positions 1214 to 1382 of the family's 1533-position model. Lineage: Bacteria; Pseudomonadati; Pseudomonadota; Betaproteobacteria; Burkholderiales; Comamonadaceae. The record is from RNAcentral.